RNAcentral lists this ribosomal RNA (440 nucleotides) under uncultured bacterium. RNAcentral describes it as "partial 16S ribosomal RNA". It matches the Rfam family "Bacterial small subunit ribosomal RNA", at positions 338 to 795 of the family's 1533-position model. The record is from RNAcentral.
CCUACGGGUGGCAGCAGUGGGGAAUAUUGGACAAUGGGGGAAACCCUGAACCAGCGAAGCCGCGUGAGUGAAGAAGGAUUUCGGUACGUAAAGCUCUAUCAGCAGGAAAGAAAAUGACGGUACCUGACUAAGAAGCCCCGGCUCACUACGUGCCAGCAGCCGCGGUAAUCCGUAGGGGGCACGCGUUAUCCGGAUUUAAUGGGUGUGAAGGGAGCGUAGACGGGAGCGCAAGUCUGGAGUGAAAUGCCGGGGCCCAACCCCGGAACUGCUCUUGAAACUGGGAAGCUGGAGUGCACGAGAGGUAAGCGGAAUGCCUGGUGUAGCGGUGAAAUGCGUAGAUAUCAGGAGGAACACCGGCGGCGAAGGCGGCUUACUGGCCUCUAACUGACGUUGAGGCUCGAAGGCGUGGGGAGCAAACAGGAUUAGAUACCCGAGUAGUC